GUCCAGACUCCUACGGGAGGCAGCAGUGGGGAAUAUUGCACAAUGGGGGGAACCCUGAUGCAGCGACGCCGCGUGGGUGAAGGAGCACCUCGGUGCGUAAAGCCCUAUCGGCAGGGAAGAAACAGACGGUACCUGACUAAGAAGCCCCGGCUAACUACGUGCCGGCAGCCGCGGUAAUAAGUAGGGGGCCAGCGUUAUCCGGAUUUACUGGGUGUAAAGGGAGCGUAGACGGCAAUACAAGUCGGAAGUGAAAUACCCGGGCUGAACCUGGGAACUGCUUUGGAAACUGUAUGGCUAGAGUGCUGGAGAGGAGAGCGGAAUUCCUAGGGGAGCGGUGAAAUGCGGAGAUAUUAGGAGGAACACCAGGGGCGAAGGCGGCUUACUGGACAGUAACUGACGUUGAGGCUCGAAAGCGUGGGGAGCAAACAGGAUUAGAUACCCGCGUAC
This 447-nucleotide ribosomal RNA is filed under the name uncultured bacterium. RNAcentral describes it as "bacterial SSU rRNA". It matches the Rfam family "Bacterial small subunit ribosomal RNA", at positions 329 to 793 of the family's 1533-position model. The record is from RNAcentral.